UUCACAUUGGGGAAUUUUCCGCAAUGGGCGCAAGCCUGACGGAGCAAGACCGCGUGCGGGAGGACGGCCUAUUGGUUGUAAACCGCUUUUGAUAGGGAAGAAGUUCUGACGGUACCUAUCGAAUCAGCAUCGGCUAACUCCGUGCCAGCAGCCGCGGUAAUACGGAGGAUGCAAGCGUUAUCCGGAAUUAUUGGGCGUAAAGCGUCCGUAGGUGGUUGUUCAAGUCUGCUGUUAAAGCGUGCGGCUUAACCGCAUACCAGCAGUGGAAACUGGGCGACUAGAGUGCGGUAGGGGUCAGGGGAAUUCCCAGUGUAGCGGUGAAAUGCGUAGAUAUUGGGAAGAACACCGGUGGCGAAAGCGCCUGACUGGACCUGCACUGAC
RNAcentral lists this ribosomal RNA (381 nucleotides) under uncultured cyanobacterium. RNAcentral describes it as "bacterial SSU rRNA". It matches the Rfam family "Bacterial small subunit ribosomal RNA", at positions 348 to 744 of the family's 1533-position model. Lineage: Bacteria; Bacillati; Cyanobacteriota. The record is from RNAcentral.